UGCCAGCCGCCGCGGUAAUACGGAGGGGGUUAGCGUUGCUCGGAAUUACUGGGCGUAAAGCGCGCGUAGGCGGAUUGGUCAGUUGGGGGUGAAAUCCCGAGGCUUAACCUCGGAACUGCCCUCAAUACUACCAAUCUAGAGUCCGGAAGAGGUGAGUGGAAUUCCUAGUGUAGAGGUGAAAUUCGUAGAUAUUAGGAAGAACACCAGUGGCGAAGGCGGCUCACUGGUCCGGUACUGACGCUGAGGUGCGAAAGCGUGGGGAGCAAACAGGAUUAGAUA
Molecule: ribosomal RNA, 279 nt
Filed under: uncultured bacterium
Lineage: Bacteria
Description: partial 16S ribosomal RNA
Rfam family: Bacterial small subunit ribosomal RNA
Source: RNAcentral